Molecule: ribosomal RNA, 375 nt
Filed under: uncultured bacterium
Lineage: Bacteria
Description: bacterial SSU rRNA
Rfam family: Bacterial small subunit ribosomal RNA
Source: RNAcentral
UGGGGAAUUUUGGACGAUGGGCGCAAGCCUGAUCCAGCAAUGCCGCGUGCAGGAUGAAGGCCUUCGGGUUGUAAACUGCUUUUGUACGGAACGAAAAAGCUCUCUCUAAUACAGGGGGUGAAUGACGGUACCGUAAGAAUAAGCACCGGCUAACUACGUGCCAGCAGCCGCGGUAAUACGUAGGGUGCAAGCGUUAAUCGGAAUUACUGGGCGUAAAGCGUGCGCAGGCGGUUUUGUAAGACAGAGGUGAAAUCCCCGGGCUCAACCUGGGAACUGCCUUUGUGACGGCAAAGCGGGAGUGCGGCAGAGGGGGAUGGAAUUCCGCGUGUAGCAGUGAAAUGCGUGGAUAUGCGGAGGAACACCGAUGGCGAAGGC